UGUCGCAAUUUGAAUUUCGAAUGCCGCUGUUAUCGCGCCGGGGUCAGCGCUUCCUAUCGUAUUUAUCGGCGUCACUUCCCGUUCGAUAUUUGAAAUAUUGAAUUUUUUUCACCACUGUACGUUUGUUCGACACUUUUUUUUUAAUUCGUAACUUUCUAACUUUUUAUGCAUGUUUUGGGCUUAGGUUUAUCGUUACUGGGAAUUUUAAAGGUUUGUUAUUUUACUUUUUUUUUUUACAAACGUUACAUUCUUGAAGAUUUAUUAAAAUUCGAAGAAAUUUGUAAGGUUAACAAACAUUUAAAAGUCUAAUCGUUUUAAAUAAAAUUCAAUUGUUUUAUUUAAAUUAAGAACGUAAACGUAUAUAUUUUAUUAAGUUUAGUUGUAAACCUAUCUCGUGACUAAACUACUGCGUCUGUUUGAUGAUAUUUUACUGAUGUUUUGUAUGUAGGUAGACCUUAGAAAAGGUAUGUAGUGUACCUAUGUGGUUUAAUUUAAUGCUUCUUAAGUUAUGUUGCUCUGAUUCAAACUCAUAACGAUACGUAUUAACCAACCACAUAACUUGAAAUACCUAUAAAAUGCUUUAAAAAGUUAAAAACUUUCGUAAAACCAAAAACUAGACAAAUAAAAUAUUAAAGUACCAAAAUUAAUAAUAAUAAAAAAGUACAAAUUAAAACUCUCAAGUAGUCUUGAUCCAGAUACAGUUUGAGCUGUCGAUGUCGACCCGAAAAAUAUUUUCCGAGCACUAAAUAUUUUUAUUUAAAUGUAUAUCUUUUUAAUUAAAUAAAAAACUUUAAUUUCGCGGGUACUUUUAAAUUCCGUUUGUAUAACAUCACAAUUUAACUUAUUUCUGCUUUUGUUUCAUCUUUUCAAUCACUUUUUAUAUAAAUUACAAAGGCCGGUUUUACCAGUCGCUGAUAAAGUUAUCUAAUGAAUAAUGCUAUCCAACAAAUAAAGUUUAUGAUACAUUUUUCUUUCCUAUCAUAAAAGCCAUUUUAUCUUUCGGAUAUUUCUAUUCGCAACCUACGCAUCCUAAAGUUGUAGAAUAAUAGUUUAAGCGAAAAACCGGAUUAUAACCAAAUGGUAGCAAGGUCAUCAUCCGAAUCAAAUCUGAAAAAAUCUAUUUGAGUCUCGUUGAUUUAUUUGUAUGUUCGAAUGAGUCUAACGGAUAAGCUUAAUAAUUGUGUUUGCUGGAAAACGAAAAAAAAAACCGACUUCAAUUACAUCGACAAGUAAUACAACGUAGAUCGACGAAAAAAUAGUCAAGCAACUACGCGUUAUCAAAGAUUACUCAAAAAGUAGUUAUCAGAUCUCGAUAAAAUUUAUAUGUGACCAUAUGAUAAACAUCAGCUUUCGAUUAAAUUAAAAAUUAUCAAAAUCGGUACACCGAGUAAAAAGUUAUUACGGAUUUUCGAGAGUUUCCCUCGAUUUCUCUGGGAUCCCAUCAUCAGAUCCUGGUUUCCUUAUCACGGUACCAAACUAG
This 1480-nucleotide unclassified non-coding RNA is filed under the name Melitaea cinxia (Glanville fritillary). RNAcentral describes it as "misc RNA ENSMCXG00005021557.1". Lineage: Eukaryota; Metazoa; Arthropoda; Insecta; Lepidoptera; Nymphalidae. The record is from RNAcentral.